CAGUAGCCGCGGGAAUACGUAGGGUGCAAGCGUUAAUCGGAAUUACUGGGCGUAAAGCGUGCGCAGGCGGUGUUGUAAGACUGAUGCGAAAUCCCCGGGCUCAACCUGGGAACUGCAUUGGUGACUGCAACGCUGGAGUGCGGCAGAGGGGGAUGGAAUUCCGCGUGUAGCAGUGAAAUGCGUAGAUAUGCGGAGGAACACCGAUGGCGAAGGCAAUCCCCUGGGCCUGCACUGACGCUCAUGCACGAAAGCGUGGGGAGCAAACAGGAUUAGAUACCCCCGUAGUCCCUGUCUCUUAUAC
RNAcentral lists this ribosomal RNA (301 nucleotides) under uncultured bacterium. RNAcentral's name for it is "partial 16S ribosomal RNA". It matches the Rfam family "Bacterial small subunit ribosomal RNA", at positions 509 to 807 of the family's 1533-position model. The record is from RNAcentral.